AUUUUUACGUUUUUCCAUAGACCUGGCAACCCGCGGUGGGAUUACAACUCCUUCCAUCUGUUGAGGAAGUGUGUCGGACGUCGGAAACUAUUCGGAAACCAUGAAGUGAAAACUUUGUAAAGUGAAGAAAGUGGGUUUUGUUCGGGAGCAGAGUGCGCAGCAGCCUCGGCUCGUGCCGUGGAGCCUGUUUUUGUGGCUGGUAGAGUCACGGCUCUGACGCUAGGCGCUACGUUCAGGCUAAUGCCCGCGACACCCGGAGGGUUAGCCGUGUACUGUCAGGCUGUGCGGGAGAAAGUCCGGAUCAGGCCCGAGCCGUCCCCGGCUGUUUCUGGUCAUGUCCGAGCUACCACUGCUCUGACCGGAUGGCGGGAAUACUAACGUGUGUGGAGGACGUGAAGCGGCGGCUGAAAGUGGACGUCCUGCGGGAAGCCGGCCGUCAGUAUCCGCUCACCUGCUUCGUCCUGGUGUCUAUGCUCGCGCUAACGGUGCUGCUCAACAGGUAUAUUCACAUCCUGAUGGUGUUCUGGUCGCUCCUGGCUGGUUUUGCCACUUUCUACUGCUCCCUGGGACCAGAGACUCUCCUUCCCAGCGUCCUGUUCACCGUGAAGCCCAGGAGCAGACGACGGGAGCAGGAACUGUUUCCUCUGGGUCACAGCUGUGCCGUGUGCGGGAAGGUCAAAUGCAAGCGUCACAGGCCGACACUUCUCCUAGAAAACUAUCAGCCAUGGUUGGACCUGAAGGUUCAUUCAAAGGUGGACGCCUCAGUAGCAGAGGUGUUCGAGUUAGUCCUUGAGAACUUUGUGUACCCCUGGUACAGAGACAUCACAGAUGACGAGGCGUGUUUGGAUGAACUGAGGAUGACUUUUCGCUUCUUUGCGUCGGUGCUCGUCCGCCGAGCUCAGAAGGUUGAUAUCCCAGCUGUGUUUGCAGACAAAGUGAUGAAAGCUGCGAUGAAGCACAUUGAAAUUAUUGCAAAAGCCCACCAAAGAGUGAAGACUGUGGACGGCCUGCAGCAGGCAGCUCUAGACGAAUACGGCGCCAACCUCCACGUCGCUCUGCACAGCCGGAGAGACGAGCUGCUGUACCUGAGGAAGCUCACGGAGAUGCUGUUUCCCUAUGUCAUGCCUCCCAAAGCCACAGACUGCAGGUCUCUGGCUCUGCUGCUACGGGAGGUGAUGGCUGGAUCCGUCAUCCUACCAACCAUGGACUUCAUGGCCGACCCUGAUACAGUGAACCUCAUGGUGCUCCAUUUUGUUGAUGAUACUCCACCGGAGCCAGCCACAGAGCCUCCCUCUCCACUGGUUCCAUUUUUACAGAAAUACGAAGAAACGCAUCAAGUCAGAAGCCAGAAGCCGUCUGUGCUGAAGCUGGAGCUGAAAGAGAUCAGGGAGCAGCAGGAUCUCCUCUUUCGAUUCAUGAACUUCCUGAAGCAGGAAGGAGCCGUGCACGUGCUGCAGUUCUGCCUCGCCGUGGAGGAGCUUAACGAUAAGAUCCUUCGUCCCGAGCUGAGCGACUCUGAGCUGCUGCAUUUGCACGGCGAGGUGGUGCACAUGUACGAGACGUACUGCCUCGAGGAGAGCAUCGACAAGAUCAGUUUCGACCCGUUCAUCGUAGAAGAGAUAAGAAAUGUCGCCAAAGGUCCGUACACUGAGGUGGUGAAGCUGCAGCAGAUGCGCUGCCUGUUUGAGGCGUACGAGCAUGUCCUGUCUCUGCUGGAAAGAGUCUUCACGCCCAUAUUCUGUCACAGCGAUGAGUACUUCAGACACCUGCUGAAGGGGGCGGAGUCUCCAGCAAGGAACUCGAAAGUCAGCAGAUGUGCUUCUUAUUCCAGAAGCUUCAGCUGGGAUGAGACCAGAAACACGUCCAAACGAGGGGAGUCGUUCGGUAUCAGAGGAAUUGGCAGUAAAAUCAAAGGUGUGUUCAAGAGCACGACCAUGGAGGGCGCCUUACUGCCGCCCAGUGCCAUGACCGACGUCGACGAAGAUACGGUAGAGGAGGCCACAGUCGUGAUGGAAGACGACUCCCCCGACGAGCCAGCCAUCACACCUGAACCUCAGAGGAACCUUCUGGCCUGGAGCAUCACCAUCCCCUACAUCGAUUUCUACGACGACGACGACAUCAAGAAGGAGCGGAUCCUAGUCUUCUCCAUCCACGUCGAGCGCAACGACAAGAAGAACGCUGAUCAUGAAGCAGACAAGUGGUUGGUGUACAGGAAGUAUAUGGAGUUCUACGUUCUGGAGUCAAAACUCACCGAAUUCCACGGCCCAUUUGAAGAUGCACAGCUUCCAUCCAAAAGAAUCAUCGGACCAAAGAACUACGAGUUCCUCGAAUCUAAAAGGGAAGAAUUUGAGAAAUAUUUGCAGACUCUCCUGCAGCAUCCGGAGCUCAGCAACAGCCAGCUGCUGGUCGACUUCCUGUCUCCUCACGUGGAGCAUCAGUUCCUGGACAGGAUGCUGCCCGAUGUCAACCUGGGAAAAAUCUUCAAGUCUGUUCCUGGAAAGCUGAUAAAGGAGAGAGGACAGAACCUGGAGCGGUUCCUUCAGUCCUUCGUCAACUCAUGCGAGUCUCCCAAACCCAAACCGAGCCGGCCCGAGCUGACCAUCGUCAGCCCCACGGCGGGUAACAAGAAGCUCUUUAGCAACCUGUUCAAGAACAACGCCAACCUGUCGGAGAGGAAGCACAACCCCAACUUCUUCGCAGAGAUGUUCACUGUGGACGGCAUGUACGACUACAUGAUGUAUGUCGGCCGGGUGGUGUUUCGCAUGCCGGACUGGCUGCAUCACAUUCUGUGUGCUGGGAGGAUCUUGUUGAAGAGCACAUUCGAAGCCUACAUGGAUCAGUACAUGCAGUUGAAACUGGAGCAGAUCCUCCAGGAGCACCGCAUGGUCUCCCUCAUCACCCAGCUCCGAGACGCCGUUUUCUGUGAGAGCAGCGAGGAACGAACAGCAGAGGCCAAACAAGCCAGAGCCAAGCAGACGUUUGAGGAGAUGAUGAAGUACCUGCCAGGGGAGAUGUUAUCAGUGCUGACGGGUGUGGAUGGAUGGCUCAACGCCGUGACUGAAGUCAUCUCUUGCAUGAAGUAACAAAGCAUUCCACCUUAAAAGCUGGGGGUAGCUGCUGGUUUACACGUAAAUGAGCAAAAUAAAAGGGCUUUUAAUCAGCUAGUACUCACUGACCUUUAUUCACAGAACAUGGCUGACCUUUUUCUAUUUCCUGUGAUUAAUAAUCAGGCAGUGAUGCCGUCAUAAUGUCUUUACUCAACAUUUUCUUUUGCAAAUUAAAAUCUCUCAUACUACUUUUUUCUUUAAAAAAAUACUUUAUUGUGAAACAUUUGUAUAAAACUCAAACUGACUUAAGUAAGUGAUAAAAUAAGUAAAUAGCAUUUCUGUCAGUGGCUCUGACGUCCUUCCUAAAAUUUCCACAUUGUAUGUUCAUGCUUUUAUAUUAAUUGAAUUUGUGCGAGGAACGAACAGCAGAGGCCAAACAAGCCAGAGCCAAGCAGACGUUUGAGGAGAUGAUGAAGUACCUGCCAGACUUUGUGGUGAAGUGCAUCGGUGAGGAGUCGAAGUACGAAGGUAUCCAGCUGCUGUUUGACAGUUUUCAGCAGCCGCUGCUCAACAA
This is an RNA transcript of Oreochromis niloticus (Nile tilapia), 3621 nucleotides long. It is a transcript of the gene named sorting nexin 14, with no coding region annotated. The record is from RefSeq and is a predicted model, not a curated record. Lineage: Eukaryota; Metazoa; Chordata; Actinopteri; Cichliformes; Cichlidae. The transcript has 28 exons.